Molecule: ribosomal RNA, 1343 nt
Filed under: uncultured bacterium
Lineage: Bacteria
Description: 16S ribosomal RNA
Rfam family: Bacterial small subunit ribosomal RNA
Source: RNAcentral
GACGAACGCUGUCGGCGUGCUUAACACAUGCAAGUCGAACGGAAAGGCCCUGCUUUUGUGGGGUGCUCGAGUGGCGAACGGGUGAGUAACACGUGAGUAACCUGCCCUUGACUUUGGGAUAACUUCAGGAAACUGGGGCUAAUACCGGAUAGGAGCUCCUGCUGCAUGGUGGGGGUUGGAAAGUUUCGGCGGUUGGGGAUGGACUCGCGGCUUAUCAGCUUGUUGGUGGGGUAGUGGCUUACCAAGGCUUUGACGGGUAGCCGGCCUGAGAGGGUGACCGGCCACAUUGGGACUGAGAUACGGCCCAGACUCCUACGGGAGGCAGCAGUGGGGAAUAUUGCACAAUGGGCGGAAGCCUGAUGCAGCAACGCCGCGUGCGGGAUGACGGCCUUCGGGUUGUAAACCGCUUUCGCCUGUGACGAAGCGUGAGUGACGGUAAUGGGUAAAGAAGCACCGGCUAACUACGUGCCAGCAGCCGCGGUGAUACGUAGGGUGCGAGCGUUGUCCGGAUUUAUUGGGCGUAAAGGGCUCGUAGGUGGUUGAUCGCGUCGGAAGUGUAAUCUUGGGGCUUAACCCUGAGCGUGCUUUCGAUACGGGUUGACUUGAGGAAGGUAGGGGAGAAUGGAAUUCCUGGUGGAGCGGUGGAAUGCGCAGAUAUCAGGAGGAACACCAGUGGCGAAGGCGGUUCUCUGGGCCUUUCCUGACGCUGAGGAGCGAAAGCGUGGGGAGCGAACAGGCUUAGAUAUCCUGGUAGUCCACGCUGUAAACGGUGGGUACUAGGUGUGGGGUCCAUUCCACGGGUUCCGUGCCGUAGCUAACGCUUUAAGUACCCCGCCUGGGGAGUACGGCCGCAAGGCUAAAACUCAAAGGAAUUGACGGGGCCCCGCACAAGCGGCGGAGCAUGCGGAUUAAUUCGAUGCAACGCGUAGAACCUUACCUGGGUUUGACAUGGAUCGGGAGUGCUCAGAGAUGGGUGUGCCUCUUUUGGGGUCGGUUCACAGGUGGUGCAUGCCUGUCGUCAGCUCGUGUCGUGAGAUGUUGGGUUAAGUCCCGCAACGAGCGCAACCCUUGUUCACUGUUGCCAGCACGUUAUGGUGGGGACUCAGUGGAGACCGCCGGGGUCAACUCGGAGGAAGGUGGGGAUGACGCCAAGUCAUCAUGCCCCUUAUGUCCAGGGCUUCACGCAUGCUACAAUGGCUGGUACAGAGAGUGGCGAGCCUGUGAGGGUGAGCGAAUCUCGGAAAGCCGGUCUCAGUUCGGAUUGGGGUCUGCAACUCGACCUCAUGAAGUCGGAGUCGCUAGUAAUCGCAGAUCAGCAACGCUGCGGUGAAUACGUUCCCGGG